GGGGUUGUGGCUCAGUGGUAGAGUGCUCACCUAGCAUGUGCAAGGCACUGGGUUCGAUCCUCAACACCA
Molecule: transfer RNA, 69 nt
Filed under: Marmota monax (woodchuck)
Lineage: Eukaryota; Metazoa; Chordata; Mammalia; Rodentia; Sciuridae
Description: tRNA.Ala
Source: RNAcentral